This 490-nucleotide ribosomal RNA is filed under the name uncultured bacterium. RNAcentral describes it as "bacterial SSU rRNA". It matches the Rfam family "Bacterial small subunit ribosomal RNA", at positions 28 to 401 of the family's 1533-position model. The record is from RNAcentral.
GAUGAACGCUGGCGGCGUGCUUAACACAUGCAAGUCGAGCGGGCAAUUUAUCUAGCACUGAUUACUUCAAAUGGAAAUCAUAAGUGUAAUCAUGAAUUUCUACCUUUAAUAAAGAAAAAGAAAUUCAUGUACGCAAAUAGUGAUAACACAUUUUAGUGGAGUGAUGAGUGCUGGAUAAAUUGCUAGCGGCGGACGGGUGCGUAACACGUGGGUAACCUGCCCCUAUCACUGGGAUAACACACUGAAAAGUGUGCUAAUACCAGAUAAUAUAAGCUUUUGGCAUCAUUAGCUUAUCAAAGAAUUUCGGAUAGGGAUGGGCCCGCGUCUGAUUAGCUAGUUGGUGAGGUAACGGCCCACCAAGCCGACGAUCAGUAGCCGACCUGAGAGGGUGACCGGCCACAUUGGGACUGAGACACGGCCCAAACUCCUACGGGAGGCAGCAGUGGGGAAUAUUGGACAAUGGGGGAAACCCUGAUCCAGCGACGCCGCG